This 253-nucleotide ribosomal RNA is filed under the name uncultured bacterium. Its description in RNAcentral is "partial 16S ribosomal RNA". It matches the Rfam family "Bacterial small subunit ribosomal RNA", at positions 524 to 776 of the family's 1533-position model. The record is from RNAcentral.
UACGGGGGGGGCAAGCGUUGUUCGGAAUUACUGGGCGUAAAGGGUGCGUAGGCGGUCCGCUAAGUUGGAUGUGAAAACUCUGGGCUUAACCCAGAGCCUGCAUUCAAAACUGACGGGCUAGAGUUCUGGAGGGGGUAGCGGAAUUCCUGGUGUAGCGGUGAAAUGCGUAGAUAUCGUGAGGAACACCAGAGGCGAAGGCGGCUACCUGGACAAUUGCUGACGCUCAGGCACGAAAGCGUGGGGAGCAAAAGGG